RNAcentral lists this long non-coding RNA (698 nucleotides) under Homo sapiens (human). RNAcentral's name for it is "non-protein coding lnc-MID1IP1-2:1". The record is from RNAcentral. Lineage: Eukaryota; Metazoa; Chordata; Mammalia; Primates; Hominidae.
GGGGGUGGUUUAGGAAGUAGAGAAAAGGUGAAAAGGCAGCGGAGGGAGCCGGCUGUCCUGUGUCUCCUCUUUUUCCUGCCCCCAGUGACUUGCAUUUUCUCUGAGACAGCUGCCAUUCUAGUCUCCCAGCCAUUCUUAGGAAGAGACGUGCCUGUCUCUGGGAAGAGGCAACUUCUCUGCAUGUCAGAGGAUGCUGGUCUUUCAAGUCCCUGCUGCUUUGGAAGAUCUCUGAGGCCUUCAACCACAUUCUUUGUAUUUAUGUCCUACUCUUCUACUUGUUCUCUGUGGAAGAGAGACAGAGGAAAAAAGCUACUGUAACCUUAUCCUAAGUGGAUGCCUAGGUGAACAUUUUGGAUGGUCACUUAACCUAAGUCUCAGUUUCCUCAUUAAUAAAAUGGGGGCACAUGAGACAUACCUCAUGAGGUUGUUUCGAGGCUUAAAUAUACGUUAAAUGUAUUUUGUGAGCCUAAAAGAUAUUUAAACACAAGCCGCUAUUACAUCUUUACAUGAUUGAAGUUCCUGAAGGAGACCUGUAGUGGGUGUCUAUACAGGGCAGUUGGUUCAUGUGGCCAGGUCUACUUGGGGAUGUGAAUGGAAGUUUACUUCUUCUGGGAACUUUGAUUGUUAAUAUUGUUGGAUUUAUCACUCUUUAGUGAAACAAGUUACUUCCUCAUGGUGGUAAGAAGUCCCAGAACACU